GUGCUCGCUUCGGCAGCACAUAUACUAAAAUUGGAACGAUACAGAGAAGAUUAGCAUGGCCCCUGCGCAAGUAAAGGUGAAUGUGUGUGGCAAAGAAGUCCUCU
Molecule: small nuclear RNA, 104 nt
Organism: Hyaena hyaena (striped hyena)
Lineage: Eukaryota; Metazoa; Chordata; Mammalia; Carnivora; Hyaenidae
Source: RefSeq, a predicted model, not a curated record